This is a long non-coding RNA of Mustela erminea (ermine), 490 nucleotides long. RefSeq lists it as uncharacterized. The transcript is spliced from 3 exons. The record is from RefSeq and is a predicted model, not a curated record. Lineage: Eukaryota; Metazoa; Chordata; Mammalia; Carnivora; Mustelidae.
CAGAGCAGAUCACUCUUUUCCGACGAAUCAUCUGACUGUCAAUAGUAGCCUGAAUUUACCUCACUAUACCUGCAUCAUUCACCUCCCAUCUCACCACGCAGAGAUUUUAUGGUCUCACAUCAUCACAAGAAGAAGAAGGGUGGAGAGUGCAGCACUGUAAGGACCAAGCUCAGGUCUUCAAGUCAGAGUGGAUGAGCCAACCAAAAAAGACCUGUGAACCCAAGGUCAGGGUCCUGUCUAGGAAACCUGGGACCUUGACACAUGAGAACAUCCAAUGGGAUGUAUGGCAAAUCCUAGUGGGAGAACAACAGUGCAGGCUUUGACGUUCUGGAUCAAAGCCAAGCCCCCCAUUUCUUCUUCCUACCCCUGCGGCACCCAACAUAUACCCAGGAGAUUGAUCUGUCGAAGGACUAAACGGAAACACUGAAAGUAGCCAGAGAAGAGGCCCUAUAGCUCAGACGACCCUCAGCUUUCCAGCACUGCCUUAGAA